CCCCCCCGCAGUUCACAGCUCUCUCUGCCGUCUUGGAGCUCACGCCAAAUUUUCUCAGUCUGUCCAAUAUUGGCUUAUCGAAUCAGCAAUUCAGCCCAGUGGAUUUAAAGGCAAAUACAACUUUUUUCUUUUUUUUUAAAGCAAAACCUUCUACCCCAGUCUAAGCAGCUCUGCCUGGCCCACCAUUUGCCAAAGGACUCUGUUCUCAGAAAUACUCCUUUGCCCAGUGCUGCUCGCGAUAAAGACCAGAAACACACACUGCGGGUCAGAAGCGUGACAGCCGCCAUCUCUGCGGUUCAUAGUCGGUCUCUCCUCCGAGGCAGGUGGAAGGAGAUUUUAAUCUUCAUUUUACAGACAGGGAAGCGAAGGGGGCGUCUUGCUCGUGAUGACGCGGCCAGGAAUUCGUGGAGGAUCCGGGCUCCUUAUGUUCUUCCAACGCCCUCCAAACUAUUAGCAUCAAAGGAAGAGGGGCUCAUUAUUAGCCAGAAUACUUGUUUAAAUAGAAUAAAAGAGCUACUGAUCCGUGAGCGUCCACUCUGAGCCUUCCCAGUACCAAGUGCCCUAUAACGUGAUUUCACUUAAUGUGCACAGUUUACCCAGCGGCCGUCCCUCCUGCUUGCACCUUCUUAAAAACUUCCGAUUUUCUUGCAAGUGUCUGCCCGGUCCCUCCAGAGUGCAAGCACAAGCCAGGUCGCACUUCGGCCACAGUCACUGGAGUGCGUGGAAUACACACUCCUUGUUUCCGCCAGCUGUGGACCAGGAAGCACACAGCCCAAGAGUCGCCUGCCUGUCAGCUCAGGGCAACGCUAUGUCGGUUAACGGAAAGCCGCAUCUGGGCAGAUGUGUGUAGCCGGGGAGGGAGCCGGCUCAGCGAUGGCAGAGCUUCCGGGGAGGCCUGGCCCAGCUGUGGGAGGGACGUGGGCCCAGAGUGCCAGCAGAAAGGACAUGCAGAGAGUGGAUGGGGCUGUGCUCCUUUGGCCACGCCCUGCCUGUCCUCAGCUGCCACGAGCCUGGCCAAGCUGUUGCGACUUCUGAGGGGCCUGAGGGCUUCAGUGACCAGCUUUCCCUGGCUGCUACCCGAGGGCCUUCCUGUGUCCUGCAGGGGGCAGGGCAAGGGUGGGAGUGCGGACUUGGCUGGGAGGAGGGGAAGGUUGACAGGCGGCCAUGGACCCUGGCGCUGUGCGCCUCACUGGUCUCACUGGAGCUAAGGGGGCGCCAAGGAGAGGGACCCCCAAUAAGGAGGCUGAGGCUUGGUCUCUUUACACCCCACGUCUGUGUUUUGGCUCAAAAGGUUCAGAAAUUCCAUGCCUGAGCACGGGGAGGAUAGAGUGGCUCCCCACUGCUCCCAGCAGGAGGUGGCACCUCAGUGCCCUCAAUGGACAGUAGAGGGGAGCUGCCCUAAAGGAGCAUUUUGCAGACGUGUUCCUUAGAGCUCAAGGUGUUUGUAAGACAUAACAGACGCUCUGUAAAAAGAUUUUGUAAUCAGCUGUCUCCUUUGCCCCCUCUUGGAAAGUCAUACAGCCCUUUAGUGUAUUAAAGGCUCUGAGAAGUCCUGCAUCCUUGUGCCUGUUUGACUCAGGGUUCCCAGCACACACCCAGGGACACCUGUGGAGGACCAGGUUCCCUGGAGUGUGGUUUGGGAAACUGCACUGGCUGUGGUCCUCUCUGAGGCUGGCCAUUCUCUUGAGAACAGGCCAGGCUUGUCACAGAGGUGAUUUAUGAGUUGGAGAGCCAAUUCAUUAACUUGCAGGGAAACCAUCUUCGCCGGCCUAAUCGAUCGACGGAUGGCAGCAAUUUGCCGAGGCGGUCCCUCCUGGUGCGGGAAGUGAAUGCAGAGGCCGACAAUGGCUUGGAAGUCGAUUGAAGGAGCCCGAGGAGGAGAAAGGGGUUGGUGUUCUUGGGAAUAUCCAUUUCUCCCCACACCGGCAGCGGCUAAACAGACCAUUCCUGGCAGGAUUUUCCUACAUAUCUUUCUUCGUGUGCCACCAUCUGGGAACCUCACGAUGACCUGCUGGCAAAAAGCAGUGAGACC
Molecule: long non-coding RNA, 2032 nt
Organism: Equus caballus (horse)
Lineage: Eukaryota; Metazoa; Chordata; Mammalia; Perissodactyla; Equidae
Source: Ensembl